RNAcentral lists this long non-coding RNA (248 nucleotides) under Fukomys damarensis (Damara mole-rat). Its description in RNAcentral is "lncRNA (ENSFDAG00000023356.1)". The record is from RNAcentral. Lineage: Eukaryota; Metazoa; Chordata; Mammalia; Rodentia; Bathyergidae.
CUCAAGGUUUGCCAAGAAGCUCUCCAUUCUGUGUAUCACAAUGCUGUGACUGUACUUCAUGCCAGACUUGACACCUGCUGUGACUUGGGGCUAGGCAUGACUUCCAGUGGAAUCUUCUAGACAAUCCAAUCACAGGUAUGCAUUUCACAGCCAAGAUGCUGACUGUGACAUCCACUGUGAUAUGAAGAGGGUAUCUGAGGAGCAAGAGCACUGAGGACAAGAGAUGAGCAGAAGACAUCUGGGCCAUC